UUGGCCUACGGGGCGCAGCAGUGGGGAAUAUUGGACAAUGGGGGGAACCCUGAUCCAGCGACGCCGCGUGAGUGAAGAAGUAUUUCGGUAUGUAAAGCUCUAUCAGCAGGGAAGAAAAUGACGGUACCUGACUAAGAAGCCCCGGCUAACUACGUGCCAGCAGCCGCGGUAAUACGUAGGGGGCAAGCGUUAUCCGGAUUUAUUGGGUUUAAAGGGUGCGUAGGCGGACUGUUAAGUCAGCGGUAAAAGCCCGGGGCUCAACCCCGGCGAGCCGUUGAAACUGGCUGUCUUGAGAUGUCGAGAGG
RNAcentral lists this ribosomal RNA (305 nucleotides) under uncultured bacterium. RNAcentral describes it as "bacterial SSU rRNA". It matches the Rfam family "Bacterial small subunit ribosomal RNA", at positions 334 to 657 of the family's 1533-position model. The record is from RNAcentral.